CAGCCGCCACGGGAAUACGUAGGUGGCAAGCGUUGUCCGGAAUUAUUGGGCGUAAAGGGCUCGCAGGCGGUUUCUUAAGUCUGAUGUGAAAGCCCCCGGCUCAACCGGGGAGGGUCAUUGGAAACUGGGAAACUUGAGUGCAGAAGAGGAGAGUGGAAUUCCACGUGUAGCGGUGAAAUGCGUAGGGAUGUGGAGGAACACCAGUGGCGAAGGCGACUCUCUGGUCUGUAACUGACGCUGAGGAGCGAAAGCGUGGGGAGCGAACAGGAUUAGAUACCCCAGUAGUCCCUGUCUCUUAUAC
RNAcentral lists this ribosomal RNA (301 nucleotides) under uncultured bacterium. Its description in RNAcentral is "partial 16S ribosomal RNA". It matches the Rfam family "Bacterial small subunit ribosomal RNA", at positions 509 to 807 of the family's 1533-position model. The record is from RNAcentral.